AUUGCCUCAUCGCAAAUUCAAGGGUCCCGGAGAACGAUGAGCGGCGUCGCGGACGUCAUUUUCCUUGCAUCCUCACUCCGGGGACCCUACCUGAAAU
This 97-nucleotide small RNA is filed under the name Sinorhizobium meliloti 2011. Its description in RNAcentral is "putative ncRNA". The record is from RNAcentral. Lineage: Bacteria; Pseudomonadati; Pseudomonadota; Alphaproteobacteria; Hyphomicrobiales; Rhizobiaceae.